GGGUAACUAGGAACAGGAUAUUGUUCAACCAUGACUUCCUGUUUCACAGGGUAUAAAUAUGAGGUGACACAUAGGCCAAACUCCCUUAGUCAUUCAUCACAAAGGGUAAGACCAAGGAAUAUAACUUUGAUGUGCAGAAAAAGGUUGUUGAGCUUCACAAAAUUAGAAGUGGCUAUACGAAAAUAGAAAAAGCUUUGAAAAUGCCAACUUCCACC
Non-coding RNA from Pelobates cultripes (western spadefoot toad), 215 nucleotides. The record is from the annotation of a GenBank genome assembly. Lineage: Eukaryota; Metazoa; Chordata; Amphibia; Anura; Pelobatidae.